UACGUAGGGUGCAAGCGUUAAUCGGAAUUACUGGGCGUAAAGCGUGCGCAGGCGGUUUUGCAAGACAGAUGUGAAAUCCCCGGGCUCAACCUGGGAAUUGCAUUUGUGACUGCACGGCUAGAGUGUGUCAGAGGGGGGUAGAAUUCCACGUGUAACAGUGAAAUGCGUAGAGAUGUGGAGGAAUACCGAUGGCGAAGGCAGCCCCCUGGGAUAACACUGACGCUCAUGCACGAAAGCGUGGGGAGCAAACAGG
This 253-nucleotide ribosomal RNA is filed under the name uncultured bacterium. Its description in RNAcentral is "partial 16S ribosomal RNA". It matches the Rfam family "Bacterial small subunit ribosomal RNA", at positions 524 to 776 of the family's 1533-position model. The record is from RNAcentral.